UACGUAGGUGGCUAGCGUUGUCCGGAUUUACUGGGCGUAAAGAGCGCGCAGGCGGUCGUUCAAGUCGAGUGUGAAAGCCCCCGGCUCAACUGGGGAGGGUCACUCGAUACUGAUCGACUCGAAGGCAGGAGAGGGAAGCGGAAUUCCCGGUGUAGUGGUGAAAUGCGUAGAUAUCGGGAGGAACACCAGUGGCGAAGGCGGCUUUCUGGCCUGUUCUUGACGCUG
RNAcentral lists this ribosomal RNA (225 nucleotides) under uncultured bacterium. Its description in RNAcentral is "partial 16S ribosomal RNA". It matches the Rfam family "Bacterial small subunit ribosomal RNA", at positions 524 to 748 of the family's 1533-position model. The record is from RNAcentral.